Molecule: non-coding RNA, 30 nt
Filed under: Mus musculus (house mouse)
Lineage: Eukaryota; Metazoa; Chordata; Mammalia; Rodentia; Muridae
Source: RNAcentral
UAAUGUGCAAUAUCGUGUUCAAAUGUUCCC